This 589-nucleotide ribosomal RNA is filed under the name Salmonella enterica. RNAcentral describes it as "partial 23S ribosomal RNA". It matches the Rfam family "Bacterial large subunit ribosomal RNA", at positions 188 to 816 of the family's 2925-position model. The record is from RNAcentral. Lineage: Bacteria; Pseudomonadati; Pseudomonadota; Gammaproteobacteria; Enterobacterales; Enterobacteriaceae. RNAcentral also lists the same sequence under 2 other names.
GGGAACUGAAACAUCUAAGUACCCCGAGGAAAAGAAAUCAACCGAGAUUCCCCCAGUAGCGGCGAGCGAACGGGGAGGAGCCCAGAGCCUGAAUCAGCAUGUGUGUUAGUGGAAGCGUCUGGAAAGGUGCGCGAUACAGGGUGACAGCCCCGUACACAAAAGCGCAUGUGCUGUGAGCUCGAUGAGUAGGGCGGGACACGUGGUAUCCUGUCUGAAUAUGGGGGGACCAUCCUCCAAGGCUAAAUACUCCUGACUGACCGAUAGUGAACCAGUACCGUGAGGGAAAGGCGAAAAGAACCCCGGCGAGGGGAGUGAAAAAGAACCUGAAACCGUGUACGUACAAGCAGUGGGAGCACAGGUUUACCUGUGUGACUGCGUACCUUUUGUAUAAUGGGUCAGCGACUUAUAUUCUGUAGCAAGGUUAACCGUAUAGGGGAGCCGUAGGGAAACCGAGUCUUAACCGGGCGUUAAGUUGCAGGGUAUAGACCCGAAACCCGGUGAUCUAGCCAUGGGCAGGUUGAAGGUUGGGUAACACUAACUGGAGGACCGAACCGACUAAUGUUGAAAAAUUAGCGGAUGACCUGUGGCU